GACGAACGCUGGCGGCGUGCUUAACACAUGCAAGUCGAACGGAAAGGCCCUGCUUUUGUGGGGUGCUCGAGUGGCGAACGGGUGAGUAACACGUGAGUAACCUGCCCUUGACUUUGGGAUAACUUCAGGAAACUGGGGCUAAUACCGGAUAGGAGCUCCUGCUGCAUGGUGGGGGUUGGAAAGUUUCGGCGGUUGGGGAUGGACUCGCGGCUUAUCAGCUUGUUGGUGGGGUAGUGGCUCACCAAGGCUUUGACGGGUAGCCGGCCUGAGAGGGUGACCGGCCACAUUGGGACUGAGAUACGGCCCAGACUCCUACGGGAGGCAGCAGUGGGGAAUAUUGCACAAUGGGCGGAAGCCUGAUGCAGCAACGCCGCGUGCGGGAUGACGGCCUUCGGGUUGUAAACCGCUUUCGCCUGUGACGACGCGUGAGUGACGGUAAUGGGUAAAGAAGCACCGGCUAACUACGUG
This 468-nucleotide ribosomal RNA is filed under the name uncultured bacterium. Its description in RNAcentral is "partial 16S ribosomal RNA". It matches the Rfam family "Bacterial small subunit ribosomal RNA", at positions 28 to 507 of the family's 1533-position model. The record is from RNAcentral.